This 440-nucleotide ribosomal RNA is filed under the name uncultured bacterium. Its description in RNAcentral is "partial 16S ribosomal RNA". It matches the Rfam family "Bacterial small subunit ribosomal RNA", at positions 338 to 795 of the family's 1533-position model. The record is from RNAcentral.
CCUACGGGAGGCAGCAGUAGGGAAUAUUGCUCAAUGGGGGAAACCCUGAAGCAGCAACGCCGCGUGGAGGAUGAAGGUUUUCGGAUUGUAAACUCCUUUUGUUAGAGAAGAUAAUGACGGUAUCUAACGAAUAAGCACCGGCUAACUCCGUGCCAGCAGCCGCGGUAAUACGGAGGGUGCAAGCGUUACUCGGAAUCACUGGGCGUAAAGAGCGCGUAGGCGGGAUAGCAAGUCAGAUGUGAAAUCCUAUGGCUUAACCAUAGAAUUGCAUUUGAAACUGUUAUUCUAGAGUAUGGGAGAGGUAGGUGGAAUUCGUGGUGUAGGGGUAAAAUGCGUAGAGAUCAAGAGGAAUACUGAUGGCGAAGGCGACCUGCUAGAACGUAACUGACGCUGAGGCGCGAAAGCGUGGGGAGCAAACAGGAUUAGAUACCCCUGUAGUC